CAGUCAUUCCCAAAAAAUGGGUACAAUUACAAAAUUACAGUGUCGCCGGCAAAUAACCACAAAAUGCAAGCUUAACAUAUGUCACAGAUAAUCUUUUUCGUGUUCUAAGUGAUUAAUAUGUAUACUAAAAUAAAAUUAUAUUCUUUUGUGAUGUAUAUCUUAAAUAUAUUUGUGUGAUUUUCUAUUUAAUAUACGGGUAUCACACGAAUUCCGAAUGUCGCCAAGAAAAACUCCAAAUAUCGGUGUGAAUUAAAAUACUUUAUUUCAUCUAAAUCAUGAUUAGAUUUGCUUUUUUUAUUUGACACUAUAUUGAUUUUUAUCCACAAAAAUAUUUUAGAAUCAAAAGUUAUAAUAUACACUUAGAUUUACCCAUUAAACCAAUGUCGCCGAUAAACGUAUAACCUACCGUAACGUAUCUUUAGGUACAGUCAAAACAUAUUUAUAUGAUUGGAAAUCAUGCCCAAAGUGACUUUAAGCAAAGUUGAUACAUCAAAUUUUAAAAUCCUGCCUUUAACUUUUAUUGCAAUGAAACGAAAAAUUAAAAAAAAUCUUCUUUUUCUCUUUUUUUCGAUUGUCGCAUAUAAGAAUCCAACCUACGUAACGCGUAUUUUGGAACGUACUAACCAAGAACAAAUCAAUUUGAUGAUUAUUUCAUUGAAAUCACCCAUAAAGCUUCUCAAUAAUCAGUUUUGAGAAAGCAACUCAACAAUAUUGUUACAUAUUUCCAUGUAUAAUGUAAAUAAAUCUAACCUCCGUUUGAAUAACCUCCGUGACGCAGUUAUUUACAGUUAAGUUGUCAGACUUUUUUAUCAGUAUCAGCGGCUGCUGACACUGCCGAAAGUCAUUUUUGUAGCAGACAGCAUUUAUUAUAAAGGAAACAGACAAACAAAAUACAGAUUUUGAGAAAAAAAAUGUUGUUUUGAGAAAGGUAGGUUAACUUCAUUUUUCCUUUUAUGUGAGCAACA
This 965-nucleotide long non-coding RNA is filed under the name Mytilus galloprovincialis (Mediterranean mussel). Lineage: Eukaryota; Metazoa; Mollusca; Bivalvia; Mytilida; Mytilidae. The record is from RNAcentral.